Molecule: long non-coding RNA, 1008 nt
Organism: Bufo bufo (common toad)
Lineage: Eukaryota; Metazoa; Chordata; Amphibia; Anura; Bufonidae
Exons: 6
Source: RefSeq, a predicted model, not a curated record
CUCCUGUUCUGUCUCCUCCCCAAAAUUUCCCUUCAUUAUGAAGAUGACGGAGAUGUCAUACAGGCUCUUGGUGUGGAAAGAUUUGAAGAUAUCUACAGGAUGCUCAUCCUCGAAGCCCAACCGAGCUGGGGAAGAGUUACAGUGAAGAGGACUUCCAAUACCACCGUCAGUCCUCACAUCACAUCCAUCAUCCUCUGUCUUCCCACCUCCCGUCUGAUAUCGCAAACCGAGACCCUCGCAAACACAAGAAAAAGAAGAAGAGGAGGAAAAGAACCUCAGUUCCUGGAGAUACUCCUGGCACCAUUCAAGAACGGGAGGAAGAAGAAGAAGAAGACACUGAGGGAGAGAAAACCCCUGAUGAAGAGCCUGACAAUGGGGACAUGAAGUUCUUCCCAGUGGAGGACAAUGACCCUCAGAAAAGUUCUGGCGUGGUUCUGGCUUCUUCAGUAGAUGUUGGUAGUAAAGAGCAGAAAUUUGACGCACUGAGACAAGAACAGGGAACCAGCACAUCCCCAACUGUAGAGGGGGGAAGCUCUACUCGCCCUAAUCAUCGCAGCCUCCCCAUCGCAGCUAUAGCCUUACUGAGCGCCGUAGAAUUGCAGCAUGACUCACCCUGAAGAUGCCCAUUACCAUCUGGUACCAACUGACGAGACUGAGGCCAAGACCCUUGCAUCAGCUGACUUGGACUACAUGAAGAGUCAUCGUUUUGAGGACCUUCCAGCUGUACGUAGACAUCUAGUUCGAAAGAGGCAAAGGUCAAGUGGUUCACAUUAACAAAGAUCAUAAAGAGAGACACCCACAUCGGAAGAGUGUAACCCUGCAACCACAUGAGGUAUUUGUAGAGCUGAAUGAGUUAGUUAUGGACAAGCACCAGGAACUGCAGUGGAAAGAGACCGCUCGCUGGAUAAAGUUUGAGGAGGACGUUGAAGAGGAGACAGACCAAUGGGAAAGCCACAUGUGGCUUCUCUGAGUUUCCGCAGCCUCCUGGAGCUCCGACGAACGUUGUCA